RNAcentral lists this long non-coding RNA (535 nucleotides) under Homo sapiens (human). RNAcentral's name for it is "HSALNT0099969". Lineage: Eukaryota; Metazoa; Chordata; Mammalia; Primates; Hominidae. The record is from RNAcentral.
GUCCUUUGUGAGAUGCCACUAUCGGGGGAAACCGGAUGGCUUCACAGAAAAAGUUCGUUUAAAGGAAAAUGGUUUAAGGCCAAGGAAAUACCUAGAAAACGGAAAGUCUUGAAACCAGAGCCUUCCCUCUCAGACAUUUAUUGGUUCAUUCAUUCGUUCAUUUUGCUGUAACUCACAGUGGCCCUCCCCAUCCUAAGGUGCACUGCUGGGAUUGGUCUAUGUGCUGAUGAUGUUCUCCUUGUCUUCAGAGGAAAAAGAAUGCCUGUGUUUCGAAGUUCCUUCUUAGGACGAAACCAGCUGAAGCUGGCGAAAUCCAAGAUGGCGCCUCUGAAGAGCCUCUGGCUUUAUCAUCAUCCUGUUCUCAUGCUAAACAACAUGUCGCCAUGACAACGACUGGAAGAGACCAAGAAGGGACAGAAAAAAAGGGGUUUCUUGAUUCCGGGAAAAAUCUCCGUUCUUUCCCAAGGAAAGCACGAAUAUUCCCCCCCGUGCUCUUAAUGCCCAGCCCCUUCAUUAAAGACACCCUACCUCUGAA